Molecule: non-coding RNA, 57 nt
Organism: Bos taurus (domestic cattle)
Lineage: Eukaryota; Metazoa; Chordata; Mammalia; Artiodactyla; Bovidae
Source: Rfam
UGGCUCAGACGGUAAAGAAUCUGCCUGAGAUGCAGAAGACCCAGGUUCAAUCCCUGG